This 253-nucleotide ribosomal RNA is filed under the name uncultured bacterium. RNAcentral's name for it is "partial 16S ribosomal RNA". It matches the Rfam family "Bacterial small subunit ribosomal RNA", at positions 524 to 776 of the family's 1533-position model. The record is from RNAcentral.
UACGGAGGGUGCAAGCGUUAUCCGGAUUUACUGGGCGUAAAGGGCUCGUAGGUGGCCAACUAAGUCAGACGUGAAAUCCCUCGGCUUAACCGGGGAACUGCGUCUGAUACUGGAUGGCUUGAGAUUGGGAGAGGGAUGCGGAAUUCCAGGUGUAGCGGUGAAAUGCGUAGAUAUCUGGAGGAACACCGGUGGCGAAGGCGGCAUCCUGGACCAACACUGACACUGAGGAGCGAAAGCCAGGGGAGCAAACGGG